Molecule: ribosomal RNA, 452 nt
Filed under: uncultured bacterium
Lineage: Bacteria
Description: bacterial SSU rRNA
Rfam family: Bacterial small subunit ribosomal RNA
Source: RNAcentral
AGAGUUUGAUCAUGGCUCAGAGCGAACGCUGGCGGCAGGCCUAACACAUGCAAGUCGAACGAACUCUUCGGAGUUAGUGGCGGACAGGUGAGUAACACGUGGGAACGUGCCUUUAGGUUCGGAAUAACUCAGGGAAACUUGUGCUAAUACCGAAUGUGCCCUUCGGGGGAAAGAUUUAUCGCCUUUAGAGCGGCCCGCGUCUGAUUAGCUAGUUGGUGAGGUAAAGGCUCACCAAGGCGACGAUCAGUAGCUGGUCUGAGAGGAUGAUCAGCCACAUUGGGACUGAGACACGGCCCAAACUCCUACGGGAGGCAGCAGUGGGAAUCUUGCGCAAUGGGCGAAAGCCUAACGCAGCCAUGCCGCGUGAAUGAUGAAGGUCUUAGGAUUGUAAAAUUCUUUCACCGGGGACGAUAAUGACGGUACCCGGAGAAGAAGCCUCGGCUAACUUCGUG